Cyprinus carpio carpio is the source of this 1416-nucleotide long non-coding RNA. NCBI's taxonomy places the organism in Eukaryota, Metazoa, Chordata, Actinopteri, Cypriniformes, Cyprinidae. The record is from Ensembl.
AAUAAUUGCAACGAAAUGGCAAGUAACAUUGAAUUAAAUGUGAAUCAUGCAAAAAGACUGAAAUAGUAUUUUCUUGUAAAUCUGCUUUAUUUACAGCUUUGAAACAAUAUUACCACCAAAUCUUGGAUUCAAUCUUUUUAUCAACUUGUUUUCUUUUCGACUGAUCGUAGGCCACAUUGAUGUGAACUAAUGCACCUCUGUUUUUGAGUGAAUAUUGACUUCAGUGUGAACAGUUAGGUUAAAAUUAACUUGAUAUUUAUGGCAAUUCAACUUGAAAGUUUCAUUUUGCCUUUGGCAUGAAGAUGAAAGUAGUUUAACAUGGAGAGACGACUCUAGGACCACAAACGCUCAAUAUUUGAAAUACUUUACAACAGAAAGCGUAGUGAAGCAUCGCCACAGGCACUCAGAGCCUCAGAAAAAAUACAAACAGCCUCGGGCUUCAGCACAAAAGAGCAACAUUAUUUGUUCACGCUAGAAUGAAAACGGCCGUAUUUAAAAGGUCAUGUUAACAUGCAAACAUAAAUUGGAGGAAAUCAGAAUUGACUUUCAGUGUGAAUGAAGCCUGAGAUGCCGCUUCGCUCGUGGACUUUAAUUGAGACGGUCCACUUCAAUAUUUAAAAAGGGGCUCUGGAGUUUUCAGUGCAGAUGCUGUCACUUUACAGUGGGUUUAAAUAUGAGAGCAGAACUAGACUACUGGAGAUCUUGUCUUUGUGUCUAGUUUGGACUUAGUCAUAGCAGCUGAAACAUUGUACCUAUAUUGUCCAUUCCUGGUUGAAGCAAACACCCUUAUAGUAUCUGUCUGUUAUUAUGUGAUUAAAUAUAGGAACAUCUGCUUCAUAUAUAUAUAUAUACUGCUGUAGUUUGGGAUCAGUAAGAUUUUUAAUGUUCUCUUCUGCUCAUCAUGUCUGCAUUUAUUUGAUGCAAAAUACAGGGGGAAAAACAGCGAAAAAAAUUUCCAAUUUAAAAUAGCUGUUUUCUAUGUUAAUAUAUGAUAAAUUGUAAUUUAUUUCUGUGAUGCGCAGCUGUAUUUUCAGCAUCAUUACUCCAGUCUUCAGUGUCACAUGAUCCUUCAGAAAUUAUUCUAAUAUGCUGAUUUGCCUCUCAAGAACCAUUUCUGAUUAUUAUCAAUGUUGAAAACAGUUGUGCUGCUCAAUAUUUUUGUGGAAAACAUCAUACAUUUUAUUUUCCUGGACUGACAGAUAAAUAGAAAUUUCAAAAGAACAGGAUUUAUUUAAAAUAGAAAUCUAACAACACAGGUCUUUCCUAUCACAUUUUGUCAAUUUAACACAUCCUUGCUGAAUAAAUGUAUUAUUUUUUAUCAAAAGAAAUGGAUUUCUAUUUUAAAUAAAUGCUCUUCUUUUCAACUGUGCUUUAAAAACCCUGAAAAAAAAGUAUCACAGGUUUAAAAAAAUAUUA